This is a small nucleolar RNA of Hippopotamus amphibius kiboko, 132 nucleotides long. RefSeq annotates it as small nucleolar RNA SNORA72. The record is from RefSeq and is a predicted model, not a curated record. NCBI's taxonomy places the organism in Eukaryota, Metazoa, Chordata, Mammalia, Artiodactyla, Hippopotamidae. The transcript has a single exon.
CUGCAAAUAUUCUUGCUAUUCUGAUUUUGCAAUAAUUGGAACAGACUGAACAUUUGCUACACUAAGACCAGGCAUGUGUCCUCAGACCUAGUUCUUUCCCUAGGUCUGGUUUUAUAAAUGCUGAUGCUAAAU